CUAGGUGCUUAUGAUAAAACUGUAAAAGUAUGCAAAUUUAUCAUGAAUAUUGAUCAUGUUUAUGUAAACGUUCAUCGUCUUUAUGCUUGUCAAUACUAUUCUUUGUAACUGAUUUGACCACUUUUUGCUUUAUUACAUAAAGCAAGCCCAGGUAUGUGUAAUGUCAUAAUAAGAAUUAAUACAUAAACAUGAGUAGGAGUUUAUUUGCAGGGAU
Haliotis rubra (blacklip abalone) is the source of this 214-nucleotide long non-coding RNA. RefSeq lists it as uncharacterized. The record is from RefSeq and is a predicted model, not a curated record. NCBI's taxonomy places the organism in Eukaryota, Metazoa, Mollusca, Gastropoda, Lepetellida, Haliotidae. The transcript has 3 exons.